GAUGAACGCUGGCGGCGUGCCUAAUACAUGCAAGUCGAGCGAACGGACGAGAAGCUUGCUUCUCUGAUGUUAGCGGCGGACGGGUGAGUAACACGUGGAUAACCUACCUAUAAGACUGGGAUAACUUCGGGAAACCGGAGCUAAUACCGGAUGAUAUUUUGAACCGCAUGGUUCAAAAGUGAAAGACGGUCUUGCUGUCACUUAUAGAUGGAUCCGCGCUGCAUUAGCUAAUUGGUAAGGUAACGGCUUACCAAGGCAACGAUGCAUAGCCGACCUGAGAGGGUGAUCGGCCACACUGGAACUGAGACACGGUCCAGACUCCUACGGGAGGCAGCAGUAGGGAAUCUUCCGCAAUGGGCGAAAGCCUGACGGAGCAACGCCGCGUGAGUGAUGAAGGUCUUCGGAUCGUAAAACUCUGUUAUUAGGGAAGAACAUAUGUGUAAGUAACUGUGCACAUCUUGACGGUACCUAAUCAGAAAGCCACGGCUAACUACGUG
RNAcentral lists this ribosomal RNA (497 nucleotides) under uncultured bacterium. RNAcentral's name for it is "partial 16S ribosomal RNA". It matches the Rfam family "Bacterial small subunit ribosomal RNA", at positions 28 to 507 of the family's 1533-position model. The record is from RNAcentral.